CUGCUUCUUCCAUACCUUCAAUAAUGAACUUGAGGUUUACUGGUAUGUCCUAAGUAAAAAAAUCAACAAAGCGUAGAGCUUAAGACCCUGGAGGAAAGUAGUCGUCCAUCAGUUUAUUGCAGGAAUAUUGUUCUCUGUGGUUAGGACCAAAUCCCUUGCUUUGUCUCUUCUUUGAUCAGGGACUAACAAAUGAUUUGGGGUGGGAGGGAGGAGUUGAAAAUGGUCUUUUAUUGAAAGUGAAAAUGUUUCACAAUUUUUUUAUUUUGCUUUCGAUGAAAUCUGAAGAUGGAAAUACUUUCAGGUUUUGGUUUUUGCCCAAAGAAAUACAGCACUUUUAAUAUGAAGAAUGCAACUACAGAAAAUGCUUAUUUUUAUUUUGUUGUUUCUGAUAUGGCCAUCAUGACCUCUCUUUUUUUGUCUGUAGGCCUGACUUGACAUGAGUAAUUGGUGAGGUCUUAUUUCUUGGGAGACAGGAUUAGGGAGGUAAAUGGAUCAGCCUUAUUUCUGGAAACAGAAUGUCUGCACUAGCCAAGAUAAGGGGAAAACAUGCAGGGAACCAUUUACAAUGGACAAGAUAACAAUGGAUAAAAUAAGCCUGGAAUGUAAGAUGAGAUAAAAAGUAAGGGCUAGUCUACACUGGCAAUGUUAAAGCGCUGCCCCGGCAGUGUUUUUUAACGUGGCUUGUGUAGUCGCAGCAGAGCACUGGGAGAGAGCUCUCACAGUGUUCUAAAAAAAAAAAACACCUCCACGCUGGUGCACUGUCUACACUGGCUUUACAGCGCUGAAACUUGCUUCACUCAGGGAGGUGUUUUUUCACACCCCUGAGCAAGAAAGUUGUAGCGCUGUAAAGUGCCAGUGUAGACAAGCUCUUAGGCUAUGUCUACAGUGGCAAGUGAAGGACAAAACUUUUGUCGUUCAGAGGCAUUAAGAAAACACCCACCUCUGAAAGACAAAAGUUUUGCCGACAACAAGUGAGAACAGCACUUUGUUGGCAGGAGAGCGCUCCUGCCAACAACGCAAAUGCUGCUCAUUGGGGGUAGAAGAUUUUUGUCAGCAGCAGAGUCAACACUGGCUACACUGCGCGCCUUUUAGCGGCACGGCUGUAGCAGCACAGCCAUGUCACUAAAAGCCGUGUAGUGUAGACAUAGCCUAAGUAAUGCACUGACAGAGCAUGCUGUACAUGGACAGGUUCCUACAAAGUGACCAAGCCAGCCUCAGAACAUAGAAUCAUAGAAUAUCAGAGUUGGAAGGGACCUCAGGAGGUCAUCUAGUCCAACCCCCUGCUCAAAGCAGGACCAAUUCCCAACUAAAUCAUCCCAGCCAGGUCUUUGUCAAGUCGGGCCUUAAAAACCUCCAAGGAAGGAGAUUCUACCACCUCCCUAGGUAACGCAUUCCAGUGCUUCACCACCCUCCUAGUGAAAUAGUGUUUCCUAAUAUCCAACCUAGACCUCCUCCACUACAACUUGAGACCAUUGCUCCUUGUUCUGUCAUCUGCCACCACUGAGAACAGCCAAGCUCCAUCCUCUUUGGAACCCCCCUUCAGGUAGUUGAAAGCAGCUAUCAAAUCCCCCCUCAUUCUUCUCUUCUGCAGUCUAAACAAUCCCAGUUCCCUCAGCCUCUCCUCAUAAGUCAUGUGCUCCAGACCCCUAAUCAUUUUUGUUGCCCUCCGCUGGACUCUUUCCAAUUUUUCCACAUCCUUCUUGUAGCGUGGGGCCCAAAACUGGACACAGUACUCCAGAUGAGGCCUCACCAAUGUUGAAUAAAGGGGAACGAUCACGUUCCUCGAUCUGCUGGCACAGCCCCUACUUAUACAGCCCAAAAUGCCGUUAGCCUUCUUGACAACAGUAGCACACUGUUGACUCAUAUCCAGCUUCUCAUCCACUGUGACCCCUAGGUCCUUUUCUGCAGAACUGCUACCUAGCCAUUCGGUCCCUAGUCUGUAGCAGUGCAUGGGAUUCUUCUGUCCUAAGUGCAGGACUCUGCACUUGUCCUUGUUGAACCUCAUCAGGUUUUUUUUGGCCCAAUCAUCUAAUUUGUCUAAGUCCCUCUGUAUCCGAUCCCUACCCUCCAGUGUAUCUACCACGCCUCCCAGUUUAGUGUCAUCUGCAAACUUGCUGAGAGUGCAGUCCACACCAUCCUCCAGAUCAUUAAUAAAGAUAUUAAACAAAACCGGCCCCAGGACCCUUGGGGCACUCCGUUUGAUACCGGCUGCCAACUAGACAUGGAGCCAUUGAUCACUACCCAUUGAGCCUGACGAUCUAGCCAGCUUUUUAUACACCUUACAGUCCAUUCAUCCAGCCCAUACUUCUUUAACUUGGUGGCAAGAAUACUGUGGGAGACCGUAUCAAAAGCUUUGCUAAAGUCAAGGAAUAACACAUCCACUGCUUUCCCCUCAUCCACAGACCCAGUUAUCUCAUCAUAGAAGGCAAUUAGGUUAGUCAGGCACGACUUCCCCUUGGUGAAUCCAUGCUGACUGUUCCUGAUCACUUUUCUCUCCUCUAAGUGUUUCAUAAUUGAUUCCUUGAGGACCUGCUCCAUGUGAUGCAAUGUAUAAUAAAUGCAAUGUAAUGUGUAAAAAUGUAUAUAAAGGUAGAGAUUUGCUUUUUUAUCUUUAGAAGUGUGGUAUGCUCUGAACCUAUGUCCUGUGCCAGUGGUUCUCAAACAGGGGUACGUGUACCCCUGAGGGUACGCAGAGGUCUUCCAGGGGGUAUAUCAACUCAUCUAGAUAUUUGCUCAGUUUCAUUACCAACUACAUAAAAAAACACUAAUGAAGUCAGUACCAACUAAAAUUUCAUAGAGACAAUGACUUGUUCAUACUGCUCUAUAUACUGAAAUGUAAGUACAGUCUUUAUAUUCCAAUUGAUUUAUUUUGUGGUAAUUAUGUGGUAAAAAUGAGAAAGUCAGCAAUUUUUCAGUAAUAGUGUAUUGUGACACUUUUGUAUUUUUAUGUCUGAUUUUGUAAGCAAAUACUUUUUAAGUGAGGUAUAACUUAGGGGUACACAAGACAAAUCAGACUCCUGAAAGGGGCACAGUAGUCUGGAAAGGUUGAGAGCCACUAUGCUUAAACCUGAUCACCUAAAGUGCAGUUUAAUUGUAUGCCAAUAAAGACAUCUCAGUGACAA
Molecule: long non-coding RNA, 3122 nt
Organism: Malaclemys terrapin pileata
Lineage: Eukaryota; Metazoa; Chordata; Testudines; Emydidae
Exons: 2
Source: RefSeq, a predicted model, not a curated record